GCUGAAAGUAAAGAGCAUAAACUCAGCAGAUCAUUCUGGAUAGAGCAGACUUAAAGUAGUAAAGUAACUACUAUCAUACAUCACACAAGGUACUAGUCUACCAGUAACAAGUCAGCACUCAUUGAAUUGAGUGAAAAUAGUUUGAGAAGUUCAAGAUAUAAUCCUAGAAGAAGAUGCAUUUAAUUCUUCCAUUAAUUUAAAAUCAUAUGAGAAGUGCAGAG
Molecule: unclassified non-coding RNA, 221 nt
Filed under: Hevea brasiliensis (rubber tree)
Lineage: Eukaryota; Viridiplantae; Streptophyta; Magnoliopsida; Malpighiales; Euphorbiaceae
Source: RNAcentral